CCAGACUCCUACGGGAGGCAGCAGUGGGGAAUAUUGCACAAUGGGGGGAACCCUGGUGCAGCGACGCCGCGUGGGUGAAGGAGUACUUCGGUACGUAAAGCCCUAUCAGCAGGAAAGAAAAUGACGGUACCUGAAGAAGAAGCCCCGGCUAACUACGUGCCAGCAGCCGCGGUAAUACGUAGGGGGCAAGCGUUAUCCGGAUUUACUGGGUGUAAAGGGGGCGCAGACGGCGAUGCAAGACAGGAGUGAAAGCCCGGGGCCCAACCCCGGGACUGCUCUUGGAACUGCGUGGCUGGAGUGCAGGAGGGGGAGGCGGAAUUCCUGGUGUAGCGGUGAAAAGCGUAGAUAUCAGGAGGAACACCGGUGGCGAAGGCGACC
This 378-nucleotide ribosomal RNA is filed under the name uncultured bacterium. RNAcentral's name for it is "partial 16S ribosomal RNA". It matches the Rfam family "Bacterial small subunit ribosomal RNA", at positions 331 to 726 of the family's 1533-position model. The record is from RNAcentral.